AGGCUCCCCCAACAUGCAUGAAGAUGAACUCUCCCGCACUGAACCAAUGGGGUAAAGCUGCAGCUGGCGCAACCUGUCCGUUGGCAUUUCAGAGUGUUUUUCCCCUCCAGAUCUAAAGAUUUUACGUUUCUGUGCAGGGUAAUCUGGAGAUAAGAAAUUGGCGCAUUUUUAAUUUUAGAGCAAUUUUUAAAAGUUUUUUGGUUUUUUUUCUGUCGGAAAACAUUUUGUUCCCAAGAUUUAUUCAUAAUGUCAAAGUGUUUCUUUUACGAAGGUGUCUGAUACACUGUGACAUGCCAUUUGGCAGCUGAGACCUAUGAUUCUAAAGGUUUUCUUGUAUUCAUCUAGAGAUUUUUUGGGGGAGGAUCUGGCAACACCGGGUACAGCCGAGCUGGCACAUGUGCGUGCGCACACUUACUCCACCACUUUACCCUUCUUUGAGCUGCAGCACAAAGGAAUAUCCACCAGAAACUCUUCGGGGCAUCAGAUGAUUCUUAAGGCCAAGAUACAAUAUGGUAUUUCAGUGCAAUCCGAUCGCAUGCAAUCCGAUUGCGUGAUUGCAUGCAAUCGAUCGCAUGCAGUCGCGACAGGGUGCAGUAGGGUGGGAUCGGAUGCGAUGGAGGGUGUUUGGAAGCAGGAACGAGAGUAUUUGUAUACGCCUACUUCGUAUUUUGAUGUUGCUAUGCGCAUAGAACUUAGAGUAUGUGUACUUUUGUGUUUGUAAACAUGUCUGAAUGUGUUUAUUUUAUAGAAUGUAUUAAAGAUUUUCUUAUAAAUUUCUUAUAAAUACAUUUUUUUUUAAAAAAUCAUCACCCAGAGCUCUCAUACUUUCAGUUUAGGACUGUUUCGGUAUAUCCCUUACAAAAAAGCAAUAUAGGCUACUGCAAGUAGUUAUGGUCCUGUUGGUCUUAUUUUGGCACACUUGCAGUACUACUUUUGGACAUUUUUUUGUGUAAGGGAUGUAUGUGUGUGUGUGCGUGUGUGUGUGUGUGUGCGUGUGUGUAUAUAUAUAUAUAUAUAUAUAUAUAAAACAUGUGAAAAAGUUGCAAGAGAAGUCCGCUGGUGCUGAGCUGCAUGUAGAAUACACCAAGCACAGGAUGGUAUUCACUCAAGAAGCCAGCCUAGUGGAAUACCUGCAAAGAGUCUCAGAGACGUAUUGUGGACUCGCACAAAAAAACGUCUGAAAACUUGCUUCUGAGCUUGCCAUUAAAAACAAGAAGUCUGACGUACCAGCAGGCUGGCUUGAAAAUGGAAUGUCAGGCUUCCAGAGAUUUCUUUACGAAAACCAGAAGUGACUUCAUUGGCUUGUGAUGCUGCUUUCAACAGACACAAUGUCAACUUGUUUUUUGACAACCAGCCUUCAGCUUCUGCCAUGUCCGGUGAACAGCCUUCAGCCUCUACCAUGUCCAGUGGCUACAUUAUUCCAGAGGCUGUCCUCCCUCUCCCUAAAGCAGGUCCACGGGUACCAAAGAAGAGUGGUGAUCGCAAACCAGAGAAAAGUAGAAUCUUGACUGAUACACCUGAGAAAGAUGCUGUAGCUGCUACGCGUCAGGAAAGACAACUCAAUCAAAAAACAGAGACAGCAGAGUGGCAAGCAACCAAGAAAGACCAAAUUUCAGCCAUCAGAUUCAGAAUCCCGAGAUUCAGAGAUGUCAGACAGCGAGUAUGAACCGAGUGAUAAUACUGCAUGUGUCAAAGCUGGAGAGUACGUAAUUCACAGGCUUCGCUGUCCUUUGUUGAUGGUGUUCUUGAAAGAAAUGAAAAUGAACUAUACACCAAGUUUCUGUGGUCCUGCAAAUCUAUUCCCUUUACACUAAAUUCAUGUUUCCAGAAACAAGAUGCUGGCAUGCAUCGUUUAUCAGAUAUAGUAGUAAUGAUCCUGCCUGAUCCCAUAAAUGUUGGUGGCACAGAUCGCUUCUCCGAAAAAUACACUUUUCCCUGUGAUGGAGACUUAUAAACUGAACUAAUUUGAGACAUAUUCAUAAAAACCUAUGGAAUUGUCAUGGGAUUGACUCAGCUAAACCAGUUCCAAGUAGAGUGGUUAGAAGUCAGUAGUUAGAAUCUCAAAAUAAUAGCAGUUUUGUUUCAAGCAGGCUAAUGUGAUUGACUCCAAAAAGUUUCAUACAGAAAUGAAUUUGUUCUUCAUUAAUAUCCUGCUCAGUAAUCAUUUUCUGUGGGGUAAUUGCCCUUGUCUUUCAUUAACUUUCACCACACCUGAAAGGCUACUUGUCAGAUCAUGGUUUUUAAACAGUAUUUUAAUCCCACUUGUUGGGUUUUGUUAGUACAUUUUAAUGGUCAGAAUCAUUUGGUUUCAUUCAAUGUUUUUACUCAUUACAUUUGUUUUUAUUGCACACAUGUUAUGAAGUUAUAUUUUAUAACAGGUAUUAUGAUGUCUAAAUUCAAUGAUAAAUAUAUGUUGCUGAUAUUUUUAGUUCUGUUAAUAUUUAUAAUGUUUGAAUAUUAAACUUUUCUGCAUUUUUCAUUUAAUACCUCUUGUGUCCUGUAGGUGGUGUUUUCCACAAAUUGUCUCAACUAGCCCCGGUCUCCCUUACUACUGCUUGUAGCUGUUGCUAGAAUCGGUGGCAUAAUCUCUGGAACAAAAACAAUUAUAAAUGACGCAGGUUUGAUAACAAAACUGUCAUUUUGAUAAAAUAUUAACUUUACAUGGCACUGAUAUCUGAUCCAAGCUAAUUUACUUUUAUAGCUCAGAAUAAAAUAUGCACAAUAAAAGUGUGUGGCCCAGAGCUCUCCCCUGGCUGUUGUUUGUGCUUGGUUCACAAAGUGACAAGUGAGUCUUCAUUAAUGCUGGAAACAUAUAUGCUAUUUUGUCACUAGUAUAUAGGCUCAGUUGGGUACAGUCAAAUGCUUUGUGUAACAGCUCUGUGCUUUUUAAAUGGUCAAAUUGAUCAGCUUGAAAAAAAUGAAAUUCUUAAGCACAGGUUUAUAUAUAUAUAUAUAUAUAUUUAAUGUAUACAAAAAGCUGUAUUUUUUUUACCUUCUGCUUCACUUCGAUUCAAAUCUGAUUCAUCUUUACCUAAUAUCAGACAACAGAAAUCAGUUCAUUUUACUGGUAAUACAUUUGUUUAAGUCCUUGUGCUAUAUUUAAUGUUGUUUCUUUUAUUUUUUUCAAAUGGCUUUGUUUGGUGAUCAGUUCUACCGGCGGUGUUCUUUACUGCAGGUGUGUAGCCUGGUGGCUUCAUUACACACACCAUGAAUCCAGCAUGCAGUACAACCCUUGGUUUCAGCCUCCAGCCAGCAGUUCUUCACACAAACACGGCUGGGUUAUCCCUGAGAGAUGCAGAUGGAAAACAUGCCACUUCAGUUCUACAGAGAGUGCUGUACAACCCCAAGACGAGAACAACCAUGAUGCCCUUCAAAACAACCUGCUUCCAUAUAAAGGUCAAAACCAACAGAAAGCAGCAGUACCAGGGAGUGCUGUUACUGACACUCAACUGGUUGGUCAGUGAAGAAAAAGCUUUAUUAAAUACAUUGUUGUCUGCUGUUCUGCUGCAGAGUAUUGUGGUGUACAGUAAGGUAAGCACUGCUAUUAAUAACUAUUGGAAAAGCCAGGGAGCCCUGUACAUUGGAAUUAUUUAAUGGAACCUAGACUUUAAUUUAAGUUCAUACGUUCCGGGUUAAACCAAGUCCUGGUCUAGAAUGGGCUGAAAAAAACCACAAGUGAGUACCACAUAUGUAAAUGAUAGCCCUCUAAAUAUAGCUAUGGUUUAAAUUACGGUCUGUUAGUAGUUUAGAGUUUUAACAUUUUGAAUGUUGCCUAAAUGUUGUCAAAAAGUAUAAUCUUAAUUAGAAAUUCUAAAUUAAUGGUGCCUUACAUUUUACAAGAUACAGAGACUAAGGUGUAAGGCACCACUAAUUUUAUCUUCCAUAUACAUAUAAAUGCUACACCACCACUGAGAUAAUGAGCAUUUUGCAUAUUUUUAUACACUAAAGGAAUUCUAAAGACACUCCUGUGAACUUAAUGAGACAUUGAUAUUCAUGUAUGUGAUACACAAACAGCCUUGUUGUAUUGACUUAAACAGUGGUUGCACGUGUUUUGAAUACUGCUUAUGUAUACACAGUUGUAGUCAAAAGUUUACAUAACCCAGGAAAUUUAUAAUUUCUAGAAAUUUCUCGAAAACAAAGAAUUAUAGGAAAAAUCUUUUGCAGCAUUUUUUUUUUUUUUUUUUGCAAAACUCCAAAAAUGUUAAUUCAAAAGUAUUUGUACAAGGAAAAUGAAAUUAAUAGCUAGUUGAGGCACCUUUCACAGUGAUAACCUCUUUUAAAUGAUUAGGAUAUUUGUCAAUGAGCUUUUGGCAUGAUUAUUUAGUGAUUUGUGUUACCAUUCUUCAAUGCAAAAUAGGCUACAUACAAUUUUGGCUUUCUAAUGCAGUACGUUUAACUCAUUUUCUUUCUGCACAUGCUGUAAACGUUACUCUCUGAAUUGUGCUGGAGUUGAUCCUGAAGAGACUAGCAAUUUAUUAAAUGUGAUGUAGAGCAGCUUGGGCUUAUCUAUUAAAAGCACUACAGUGCUGGAGUGCAAGGUGAGCUACACAAUGGUUUGAAUCCUGGUUGUGUGUUGAUGAGCUUGGUUGGUUUGCGGAGAAAUAUCCGCUGGGGACAGUUCACAUAUUGCGCUCAACGAUCCCUACUUGUCAGGCACCCCCCAGACCAGGUGGAAACCUCCUGAUCCGAACCCUUGCCACCAGGGUUUAGUAGCUUGACACCCCUUAACCUGCCAACCUUAACCUUUUGCCAAUCAGUCUGAUUGGCAAGUGGGUUGCAGUGGUGAGACUCCUUUAGAACUAAGCAGAACAACUGAGGUAAAACUGAUAAACAGUUCAUCAAAAAAUCUAAAAAUAUUUUACACCAAAUUUUAAAUUAUAAAAGAAAAAAAGAGGCAUGAAACAAGGAUUGAAAUGAGUUCCCCUGUGUGUCACAGGCCUUGCUAUCAGUGUCAUUGAAUGCUCCUUGAAUAAUGAUUGACAUGAAUCUUCUCUUUCCUGAAGGUGUUGACCUGUCCAAACUGGAACAGCACCCCAAUGCUGCUCCACUUGGAUUUUGAAACUGAUAUUAAAGAGAGGCUGUUUUUUCUCAAAGAGGUGGGUGUGGAGGAGAGCCACCAGGGUCGCUUUAUCUCCAAGAACCCUCACAGAGAGCAUGGAGGAUCUGCGGGACAGACUAUGGAUCUUGUGACGCGUCUUCCAAGGUUAUUAACUGGGAGUUUGGAACCAGUAAAAGAAAACCUUAAAGUAAGUUAUUUGACCAUACAGCCUGUUAGUUUUGAAAUGAUAAUUGUUCAAGAUGCAGUGCUGAGUGCUCUACUUCUUCAAGCAAUUGUUGUGUUUUCUACAUGCAUGUUUUAUUACAUGGUUAGUAUAUGCACAAUUAUUGUGUGUAAGCUGAAAACCUCUUGUCCACCAGAUAUCCCUAAUUUAUGUUUUGCUCUUUUGUACUGGUGUAUCAGAUAGAACUGGGUUUUAAGGAAAAUGAAGUCCAACACAUUUGUUACGAGAAUACCAAAGCUUUUAACUGCAAGCAAAAAGAAACUUACAGGAAUCUUUGACUUUGCACAAUACAAUGGGCAUCUCUCACAAUCUCAUUGUCAAAUUCCCUCAGGCACCCAAGGGUUUGGGUUUCAAACUGUAUCCUUAGAAGGUAUUAUAGUAAAGUGCGGCUGACAGUUUUAAUACAAUGUGUUUUAAUAAGCAAACUUUUGCCUGUUUUCUAUGUUUAUUGCACAAAAUGCAAAAAUAAGUCACUGGUAUCCAAGAUAAACGUAAGGAAGGAGCAUCCUUCAACUUUAAGAAUAACAUAUUCCUUUUAAUUAUUUUAUUAAACAUCCAAUACAUUAUGUAUAAUUAAAAAAAAAAAUCCUUAUUUCAUUAUUAUAAAUAUAGUACAGUUUUAAUUUUAGUUCCAUGUUGCAACCAGCCUUUUUAACGUGGUUACAGCAAAUCAGACUCUUGCUUUAAUUAGGUUAGGUAUGGAAGGUGUUAGAUGUGGUUGGCAACAAUUUGAUUUGCACAGCAGUUUGUUGGGAUUUCUCUGCCUUGGCCACACACAGGUAAGCUGGAUAAAGUUAGAAGCCCAUUAAGUUAUUUUGUGGUCUUCUAUAAUGCAUAUGUAAAUGUACUGUAAACACUAAAAAUAAACAGUAUUAGGGACUAACACUAUAGCAGUAGUGUUGAAUAGUUCUUCAGUGUUGCUCCAAGUAUGACUUUAAAUUGCUUGUUAAUAAAAAUAAAUGCUCUUCCUUCUAUUUUUGUGAGCUGAAACUGAAACAGUUAUAUUAAAACAAAUAUAUAAUAAUCUGUUCAUGUGAAUUAGUCUAAUGUUUUACCUGUUUUUGGUUUUUUUUGGCAUUGAAUGCAACCUUAUUGAAUUAAGGAGAGGCAUUUGUUCCUAAAGCACUUGGGAAGGGCCCAGUAUGACCCAGUUGAGCCAAACUACAUCUCAUUGGAUCGACUGGUCUCACUCCCCAAUUAAGUCUUCUGUACAGAGAUUGCCUUGGCCUCACUCAAGGAUUUUGAAAUGUUUCAGAAGACACUUUAAUUGCAGAAUGCACUGCAUCAUAAAUGUACUAAUAUGUCUAAAAUGAUAA
Molecule: long non-coding RNA, 6598 nt
Organism: Acipenser ruthenus (sterlet)
Lineage: Eukaryota; Metazoa; Chordata; Actinopteri; Acipenseriformes; Acipenseridae
Exons: 3
Source: RefSeq, a predicted model, not a curated record